Molecule: long non-coding RNA, 1478 nt
Filed under: Malus domestica (apple)
Lineage: Eukaryota; Viridiplantae; Streptophyta; Magnoliopsida; Rosales; Rosaceae
Description: long non-coding RNA (MDOM_LNC012931)
Source: RNAcentral
UAAAAUGGAGUGGUGUUGAAAUGAUUCAAAGGUAAAAGUGAAUUGAUGAUUGAUGCAAGAAUUAAACAUGGAUGGAGUUCACAGCAAAGGUUUGUUAUGGUACAAGGAACCCUUAAUUUGUGUCCUAAAAUGCAUGUGAAACCUUCAAUGUUGCUAGAACUUAGGGACAUUUAGGAUUUAGGAAAGAUAAAACCAAAAUAGGAAACCUUGGCUUAACUUUCCUACUUCAAGUAGGAAUCCUCAUCUUUAGGUCUUCAAUUUCAUCCAUUCCUUUAGUUGCAAGCAUGUGAUAUUUAUUCCAAGCCCAAAAUUGCUCCAGAAGGCUCCAAAAUGCACAUUUUUGCAUACUUUGUCCUUAGAACCUGAAAUUGCACAAAAAUGACUUUAAACACUAAAACAACUAAGGAAUAACAACAUAAAUGCAUGAGAACAAGCUAACUCAGUCGCAUAAAUAUGCUCUUAUUAAAUUCCCCCACACUUAGCUUUUGCUAGUCCUCGAGCAAAACAAAAGAGACAAACGAAUCAAAACAAACAGAACACAACUUAACCUUCCAACAUUUGCCUCAGGGAUUUCCAAUGCACAUGACAUGUUAAAAAUCAUCAUUCCCACAACUUUUAGUCAUCUUCACACUUGAGCACAUACUUAAUUACAGUCACCACUUACUAGUUCGCAAUUAACCAAUUAAAAUGAUAUUUUGAAUGUAGUAACAUGCCUUAGAGAAUUUGCUCAAUUCCUUACAAGAUACUCUCUAUUUUCACACACAUUUUCUGACUACAAACCCUACACUAGUUAUAUGUGAGCAGAAUGAUGUAAACAUGGAAGACUAGUACUCACAUAUGUUAUAACAAAGAAAGCAAUUUCUGGAGUUAAUAAGCAUGUUUAGAUAUGAUUUCAUGAAUGGAAUGCUACUACUUAGAUGCGAGAACCAGUGACACCAUAUGCUCAUACCAAUUUCAAACUCCACGAAUUGAAACACACAACACUCAAGAUUGAAGUCAAGGGUUGUAACGGGGCUUGGGGGUAAUGGCUAACAAAGAAAGGAUAGCAAUAACAAACGUUCUUAAAGCGAUAGCAAGCAAAGCAAUGAAAUAGACACUUGGAAUUCACUUUAGAAUGCAGAAUCAAAUUUUAAAUACAAAGGGAAGAUUCAUGCAAUACUUAGACCGAAUUCAAUGUUUUGGACCCUUUUUUAACAAACUUUUUUCUUUUCACUCUUUUUUUUUUCUUUUCUACCCGUGCCUUAUUAAGGACUUUGGUACACACACACACACACAAGAAUCACUUCCCCCACACUUGCUUUCUGCAAUACAUUGAUAAAAAAAGAGUUCAUUUUAAGUUAUGCUUUACUAUGCUUCAAGAACAAGGGUAUGGAUGGUCCUAAAACUAGGCUAGGUAAGGAUAGUGUGGAUUAACAAAGAACAUAGGCUUAACGGGGUUAAACUUAAACACAUAAUGAAAUAGGGGCACGACAAUUUGG